GGGUUGUGAGGUUAAGCGACUAAGCGUACACGGUGGAUGCCCUGGCAGUCAGAGGCGAUGAAGGGCGUGCUAAUCUGCGAUAAGCGCCGGUAAGGUGAUAUGAACCGUUAUAACCGGCGAUACCCGAAUGGGGAAACCCAGUGUGAUUCGUCACACUAUCAUUAACUGAAUCCAUAGGUUAAUGAGGCGAACCGGGGGAACUGAAACAUCUAAGUACCCCGAGGAAAAGAAAUCAACCGAGAUUCCCCCAGUAGCGGCGAGCGAACGGGGAGGAGCCCAGAGCCUGAAUCAGCAUGUGUGUUAGUGGAAGCGUCUGGAAAGGCGCGCGAUACAGGGUGACAGCCCCGUACACAAAAGCGCAUGUGCUGUGAGCUCGAUGAGUAGGGCGGGACACGUGGUAUCCUGUCUGAAUAUGGGGGGACCAUCCUCCAAGGCUAAAUACUCCUGACUGACCGAUAGUGAACCAGUACCGUGAGGGAAAGGCGAAAAGAACCCCGGCGAGGGGAGUGAAAAAGAACCUGAAACCGUGUACGUACAAGCAGUGGGAGCCCCACCACUAAGCCAGUGGUGAACUCCACAUACGCAUCCUUUGCUGAGGAUACGGUUAACGGAGCGAAAGCGACGUUCAACCGCAAAAGAAGCAGAGGGGGCUUAGUGGUGGGGUGACUGCGUACCUUUUGUAUAAUGGGUCAGCGACUUAUAUUCUGUAGCAAGGUUAACCGAAUAGGGGAGCCGGAGGGAAACCGAGUCUUAAUUGGGCGUUAAGUUGCAGGGUAUAGACCCGAAACCCGGUGAUCUAGCCAUGGGCAGGUUGAAGGUUGGGUAACACUAACUGGAGGACCGAACCGACUAAUGUUGAAAAAUUAGCGGAUGACCUGUGGCUGGGGGUGAAAGGCCAAUCAAACCGGGAGAUAGCUGGUUCUCCCCGAAAGCUAUUUAGGUAGCGCCUCGUGAACUCAUCGGGGUAGAGCACUGUUUCGGCUAGGGGGCCAUCCCGGCUUACCAACCCGAUGCAAACUGCGAAUACCGGAGAAUGUUAUCACGGGAGACACACGGCGGGUGCUAACGUCCGUCGUGAAGAGGGAAACAACCCAGACCGCCAGCUAAGGUCCCAAAGUCAUGGUUAAGUGGGAAACGAUGUGGGAAGGCCCAGACGAUGUUGGCUUAGAAGCAGCCAUCAUUUAAAGAAAGCGUAAUAGCUCACUGGUCGAGUCGGCCUGCGCGGAAGAUGUAACGGGGCUAAACCAUGCACCGAAAACGUAUCACUUAAAGCGAUUCAGCGGGUUACGAUUGACGGAGCGAAGCGACGUCAAAGCGUAUACAAAGUCGAGUCGGUUUAAGGAUACGUUCGUUGGGUAGGGGAGCGUUCUGUAAGCCUGCGAAGGUGGCCUGUGAGGGUUGCUGGAGGUAUCAGAAGUGCGAAUGCUGACAUAAGUAACGAUAAAGCGGGUGAAAAGCCCGCUCGCCGGAAGACCAAGGGUUCCUGUCCAACGUUAAUCGGGGCAGGGUGAGGGCCGAAAGGCGUAGUCGAUGGGAAACGGGUUAAUAUUCCCGUACUUGGUGUUACUGCGAAGGGGGGACGGAGAAGGCUAUGUUGGCCGGGCGACGGUUGUCCCGGUUUAAGCGUGUAGGUGUGCCUCUAAGCAUCAGGUAACAUCAAAUCGUACCCCAAACCGACACAGGUGGUCAGGUAGAGAAUACCAAGGCGCUUGAGAGAACUCGGGUGAAGGAACUAGGCAAAAUGGUGCCGUAACUUCGGGAGAAGGCACGCUGACACGUAGGUGAAGUGAUUUACUCAUGGAGCUGAAGUCAGUCGAAGAUACCAGCUGGCUGCAACUGUUUAUUAAAAACACAGCACUGUGCAAACACGAAAGUGGACGUAUACGGUGUGACGCCUGCCCGGUGCCGGAAGGUUAAUUGAUGGGGUCAGCGCAAGCGAAGCUCCUGAUCGAAGCCCCGGUAAACGGCGGCCGUAACUAUAACGGUCCUAAGGUAGCGAAAUUCCUUGUCGGGUAAGUUCCGACCUGCACGAAUGGCGUAAUGAUGGCCAGGCUGUCUCCACCCGAGACUCAGUGAAAUUGAACUCGCUGUGAAGAUGCAGUGUACCCGCGGCAAGACGGAAAGACCCCGUGAACCUUUACUAUAGCUUGACACUGAACAUUGAGCCUUGAUGUGUAGGAUAGGUGGGAGGCUUUGAAGUGUGGACGCCAGUCUGCAUGGAGCCGACCUUGAAAUACCACCCUUUAAUGUUUGAUGUUCUAACGUGGACCCGUAAUCCGGGUUGCGGACAGUGUCUGGUGGGUAGUUUGACUGGGGCGGUCUCCUCCUAAAGAGUAACGGAGGAGCACGAAGGUUGGCUAAUCUUGGUCUGACAUCAGGAGGUUAGUGCAAUGGCAUAAGCCAGCUUGACUGCGAGCGUGACGGCGCGAGCAGGUGCGAAAGCAGGUCAUAGUGAUCCGGUGGUUCUGAAUGGAAGGGCCAUCGCUCAACGGAUAAAAGGUACUCCGGGGAUAACAGGCUGAUACCGCCCAAGAGUUCAUAUCGACGGCGGUGUUUGGCACCUCGAUGUCGGCUCAUCACAUCCUGGGGAAGUAGGUCCCAAGGGUAUGGCUGUUCGCCAUUUAAAGUGGUACGCGAGCUGGGUUUAGAACGUCGUGAGACAGUUCGGUCCCUAUCUGCCGUGGGCGCUGGAGAACUGAGGGGGGCUGCUCCUAGUACGAGAGGACCGGAGUGGACGCAUCACUGGUGUUCGGGUUGUCAUGCCAAUGGCACUGCCCGGUAGCUAAAUGCGGAAGAGAUAAGUGCUGAAAGCAUCUAAGCACGAAACUUGCCCCGAGAUGAGUUCUCCCUGAGACUUUAGGUCUCCUGAAGGAACGUUGAAGACGACGACGUUGAUAGGCCGGGUGUGUAAGCGCAGCGAUGCGUUGAGCUAACCGGUACUAAUGAACCGUGAGGCUUAACCUUACAACGCCGAAG
This 2976-nucleotide ribosomal RNA is filed under the name Salmonella enterica subsp. enterica serovar Adjame. RNAcentral's name for it is "23S ribosomal RNA". It matches the Rfam family "Bacterial large subunit ribosomal RNA". Lineage: Bacteria; Pseudomonadati; Pseudomonadota; Gammaproteobacteria; Enterobacterales; Enterobacteriaceae. The record is from RNAcentral.